AUGGCAGAGGAGAGGAACCCCCUGCACCUGCCUCACCACAAGGAGGAGGACAAGGAGGGGGAGGAGAAGCAGCAUGGCCACGACCACGGUCACGGUCACGGCCACGGCCACAACCACAAUCACAACCAGACGGAGCACGCCGCCGGGAGGGGGGUGGACAUGGACCUGCCGGCGUACGUCAACAUGGGCUCAUUCACCACCGCGGGCGUUCUCGACUGGAGGUACCAGAAGGCGACAGGGGAGAAGAGGCCGGACAAGGUGAUCGGAUUGAUCAGCGCGGAGCAGGCCAAGGAGGCCGAGCGCAGGGAGGCCGGGGAGCGCAAGGCGGAGGAGGAGGAGGGCGGGGCCGCCUGGGCCAAGAACAAGAACGUCUACCAGUUCUGA
RNAcentral lists this ribosomal RNA (384 nucleotides) under Triticum aestivum (bread wheat). RNAcentral's name for it is "partial small subunit ribosomal RNA". The record is from RNAcentral. Lineage: Eukaryota; Viridiplantae; Streptophyta; Magnoliopsida; Poales; Poaceae.